GAUGAACGCUGGCGGCGUGCCUAAUACAUGCAAGUCGAGCGAACAGAUGAGGAGCUUGCUCCUCUGACGUUAGCGGCGGACGGGUGAGUAACACGUGGAUAACCUACCUAUAAGACUGGGAUAACUUCGGGAAACCGGAGCUAAUACCGGAUAAUAUAUUGAACCGCAUGGUUCAAUAGUGAAAGACGGUUUUGCUGUCACUUAUAGAUGGAUCCGCGCCGCAUUAGCUAGUUGGUAAGGUAACGGCUUACCAAGGCAACGAUGCGUAGCCGACCUGAGAGGGUGAUCGGCCACACUGGAACUGAGACACGGUCCAGACUCCUACGGGAGGCAGCAGUAGGGAAUCUUCCGCAAAGGGCGAAAGCCUGAUGGAGCAACGCCGCGUGAGUGAUGAAGGUCUUCGGAUCGUAAAACUCUGUUAUUAGGGAAGAACAAAUGUGUAAGUAACUAUGCACGUCUUGACGGUACCUAAUCAGAAAGCCACGGCUAACUACGUG
Molecule: ribosomal RNA, 497 nt
Filed under: uncultured bacterium
Lineage: Bacteria
Description: partial 16S ribosomal RNA
Rfam family: Bacterial small subunit ribosomal RNA
Source: RNAcentral